This 937-nucleotide ribosomal RNA is filed under the name Russula sp. Its description in RNAcentral is "partial large subunit ribosomal RNA". It matches the Rfam family "Eukaryotic large subunit ribosomal RNA", at positions 49 to 973 of the family's 3401-position model. Lineage: Eukaryota; Fungi; Basidiomycota; Agaricomycetes; Russulales; Russulaceae. The record is from RNAcentral.
AACGGAGAGACUAACAAGGAUUCCCCUAGUAACUGCGAGUGAAGCGGGAAAAGCUCAAAUUUAAAAUCUGGUGGUCUUUGGCCAUCCGAGUUGUAAUUUAGAGAAGCGUCUUCCGCGCUGGACCGUGCACAAGUCUCCUGGAAUGGAGCGUCGUAGAGGGUGAGAAUCCCGUCUUUGGCACGGACGCACCAGGGCUUCUGUGAUGCGCUCUCGAAGAGUCGAGUUGUUUGGGAAUGCAGCUCAAAAUGGGUGGUGAACUCCAUCUAAAGCUAAAUAUUGGCGAGAGACCGAUAGCGAACAAGUACCGUGAGGGAAAGAUGAAAAGCACUUUGGAAAGAGAGUGAAACAGUACGUGAAAUUGUUGAAAGGGAAACGCUUGAAGUCAGUCGCGUCGCCCGAGACUCAGCCUCGCCUCGGCUUGGUGUACUUCUCGGCCGACGGGUCAGCAUCAAUUUCGCCCCUUGGAUAAUGGCGAGGGAAAUGUGGCACCUUCACGGGUGUGUUAUAGUCUCUCGUCGCAUGCAAGGGUCGGGAUUGAGGAACUCAGCACGCGCCUUUCGGCGUCGGGGUUCGCCCACGAUACGUGCUUAGGAUGUUGGCGUAAUGGCUUUAAACGACCCGUCUUGAAACACGGACCAAGGAGUCUAACAUGCCCGCGAGUGUUCGGGUGGAAAACCCGUGCGCGCAAUGAAAGUGAAAGUUGGGACCUCUGUCGUGGAGGGCACCAACGCCCGGACCAGACCUUCUGUGACGGAUCUGCGGUAGAGCGUGUAUGUUAGGACCCGAAAGAUGGUGAACUAUGCCUGAAUAGGGUGAAGCCAGAGGAAACUCUGGUGGAGGCUCGUAGCGAUUCUGACGUGCAAAUCGAUCGUCAAAUUUGGGUAUAGGGGCGAAAGACUAAUCGAACCAUCUAGUAGCUGGUUCCUGCGAUUUUCCU